UCCUGGCUCAGGAUGAACGCUGGCGGCGUGCCUAAUACAUGCAAGUCGAGCGAACUGACGAGGAGCUUGCUCCUUUGACGUUAGCGGCGGACGGGUGAGUAACACGUGGGUAACCUACCUAUAAGACUGGAAUAACUCCGGGAAACCGGGGCUAAUGCCGGAUAACAUGUUGAACCGCAUGGUUCAACAGUGAAAGACGGUCUUGCUGUCACUUAUAGAUGGACCCGCGCCGUAUUAGCUAGUUGGUAAGGUAACGGCUUACCAAGGCGACGAUACGUAGCCGACCUGAGAGGGUGAUCGGCCACACUGGAACUGAGACACGGUCCAGACUCCUACGGGAGGCAGCAGUAGGGAAUCUUCCGCAAUGGGCGAAAGCCUGACGGAGCAACGCCGCGUGAGUGAUGAAGGUCUUCGGAUCGUAAAGCUCUGUUGUUAGGGAAGAACAUAUGUGUAAGUAACUGUGCACAUCUUGACGGUACCUAACCAGAAAGCCACGGCUAACUACGUGCCAGCAGG
RNAcentral lists this ribosomal RNA (516 nucleotides) under Staphylococcus agnetis. Its description in RNAcentral is "bacterial SSU rRNA". It matches the Rfam family "Bacterial small subunit ribosomal RNA", at positions 17 to 515 of the family's 1533-position model. Lineage: Bacteria; Bacillati; Bacillota; Bacilli; Caryophanales; Staphylococcaceae. The record is from RNAcentral.